Molecule: RNA transcript, 2324 nt
Organism: Quercus lobata
Lineage: Eukaryota; Viridiplantae; Streptophyta; Magnoliopsida; Fagales; Fagaceae
Exons: 7
Source: RefSeq, a predicted model, not a curated record
UUUUACUCAACUCCCCCGCAGCCAUAGCAGCGAGUCAACAUCUAUAUAUAUAUAUGAAUGGUAGUUCUCUGUGCAACCAGAACAACAGCGGCAAAAAAACCCAGCAGAAGCAAGUAUAAAAGUCAUGGUGCAUGGCCACGAUGGUCAUAUUCCUACGUUAAUAGAGAGACGUGGAGGAUCUGAAAGGCCACUGGUUCUUUCUGUGAAUAGUAGGAAAGAGACAUCUUAUUGGAUUCAGAUUUCAGAAAUAGCAAAGAAGAGACUGAAGGAAGCAAAAACAACAGUUGAGAACAUCGAAAAGCUUUAUCUCAAUCAAACUCUUAUGAGUUUACCAUGGUUGGGUUUGAAACUUUCGGAGUCAAGCUUGGACUUCAUAUACAACAUAGUUAAUGAUACUGCUGCACAAGCAAGUGCAGCAAAAGAAGCAAAGUUUAAAGCAAGUGCUGCAGCAGAAGCAAAGUUUAUUAGCGAUUCUGAGAAAUUGAAGGCUUCAAAUUUCGGUGCAUCACUCUUAAGAAUAGGCUCAUGGAUGGUACAGCCUCCACGUGAAGGUGCUUUAGUAGUAAAGAUUUAUUUUGCCAAGCGAAAACUAGUGUGGGAAAUUCUAGAGAAUGCUUUGAAGAAAAAGAUUGAAAUACAAUGGUCUGAUAUUAUAGGAAUUCGAGCUAGAAUUAUGGAAGAUAAGCCUGGAAUUCUAGAGAUUGAGCUUAACAAUCGUCCUGCUUUCUUUGACGAAAGUAAUCCAAUGCCGCGCAAGCACACCAUGUGGAAGAUUAGUUCAGACUUUACUGAUAAUCAAGCUCAAAUUUACAGGUUGCACUAUCUUGAAUUUCCUCCAGGAACCCUUGACAAACACUAUGAGAAGCUCCUGCAAUGUGACCCCAAUUUGUUAAAGUUGAGCCAAAGACCUUUCCCAAGUCUUAGUUCUCCUUACUUCCAUACAGAUUGCUACAAUGGGCGUAAAGAAUUUUCUUUGGAUUUUUAUAGACACGGGCAGUUACCUUUACCAUUCUCGAGUAUGCAUUCGCCAUUUAAAUCUAUUCAACAAAUUCAGGCAUAUGAACAAGCCCACCAACAAUACCUUCUUACAACGAAUUCAACUUCACCAAUAUCAGUUAUGGAUUUCUCUCCACAUUCAGAUGGAGCCAUUAGCAACCAAGGAGUUGAUGAUCCAAGGAUGGCAAUGUGGUAUCAAAGGAUGAUUAAUCCUGCAAACGUUCUAGGGAGAGAUCAAAUGCAAGGGCCAUUUUCUAUGGCUAUACCAACCCAAGUAAAUCCAGCCAUAUCUGGUCAAAACUAUAAUGUGUCAGCAGCUUGGCCUAAUUCAGACACUCAAAUCCUAGAUGAUAUUCAAAGCCGAUUGCUGAGUGACAAAAAAUUUCAAUUUGGUUAUGACCCUUACUUAGAGGUGGAGUCAUUGAACAACUUAGUACCUGACUUGCAAAAAGAAAUGAACCCAACAAGCAACUUCGAAACCUGUUUGUUGGGUGAAGCUGAACACACAGGUAUGAAAAAUGUGCGGAAUGUCACAAGGGUGAACUCCUUGGGUUCAUUGAUGGCGUUGCCAACAGAAGAGCAACCUGCAAGUAGCACUCUCUAUACACAGUCUGUUAACUGGCUACCUCAAUCUCAAGAUCCUAAUGUGAAUUUUAUGAUGCAUCGACCUGGGAACAACACUUCAAUGGAUACAGUUUUUGAUCCAGAUCCUAAAGUUGAUACAGAUGAUCCAACAAUGGUAGAUUUCACAACUACUAAUAAUUUUGAUGGGGACAAUCACUGGACAUGAUUCAAAAGCGAGUAUUGAUAUGAGGGAAGGAUGAUAAUAAAGCGUAUGAUUCAAAAGUGAGUAAUAAUAUUAGGGAAGGAUGAUAAUAAAAGCACAUCAUGGUCGAGCCCAAUGCGAUGGCAAGUCGAAAAAAUACAAGUCACAGAUUCAAGCUUAAGAAUUAACCUGUUCAAAGAGAAAAUUGAAGUGUAUUGGUGCAGUGAAGAUUGAUGGUAGGGUGUCUGGCGAUUAGGGAAGCUCUAUUGAAAGCGAUUCACCUAAACAUCAACUCACAUGAUGGUUGCAAGGAGAUAGAAAGAAUGAUCAAAGGCAACAAAUCAAAUGGAAAACAGAGUCCUUAGUUGAAGACAUUCCAAGUAAGCUGUGCGGCAAGAAUCCCAACAAUUUGCCAAUCUUGCCUCAAAUAGUUUCACGAACAUAUUUGGGUCUGAAAUGACUAUGUUGCUGGUUAGAACUUUAUGUUAUUAUCUUCACAUAAACUUUUCCUUUUUGUUGUAUCCAAAAAUAGUUGUGUCCAAAAAACAAAGUCCUUGAAGAA